RNAcentral lists this long non-coding RNA (1289 nucleotides) under Nicotiana tabacum (common tobacco). RNAcentral's name for it is "long non-coding RNA (NTAB_LNC011180)". The record is from RNAcentral. Lineage: Eukaryota; Viridiplantae; Streptophyta; Magnoliopsida; Solanales; Solanaceae.
UCUCAUAACUCAUUCUUGAUAUAUCAAUAUUAGUUCAAAGAAACGUUAGAAUGAGAAGCAGAUUCGUUUCCAAUUUCAAAGAAUCCAAAGUAAAGAAUUCGUUUUAAAUCAUUUGGAAAGGUAACAUUAGUCAUUCCAAAAAGCAAGAAUGUCUCCCUUUCUUGAUUUGGAAAAAUUCAAGAACAGAACUUAAGAAAUUCGUUCAUCACUUCAAAAUUUCGUUCAAGAAUUGCGAAGAAGCAGGAGCUAAUUUCGUCAAAAAUUUCAAAAAGCAGAAGCUUAAUCCGAUUUUUGGGUUCUAAGUCCAGUCCACGAAGGUUUCCAAAGGAAUAUUAUAUGGAGUUUUCCCUACUCCAGGUAUGUUAAGGUCACCCCUUCUUUCUUUUGGCAUGGUCCAAAUUAUACUGAAGAAGUAAGCAAAUACACAAAUUCCACAAAUUACUCUAUUCAUAGAAAUACUAGGGGUGUCUAUAUUCUUGAUUCCCGAUGUGAAUUAUUAUCAUCUUAUAUUCAUGGGUCUCAGAAUAAUAUGCAAUUGAAAAAGUUUAUCCGGAAGGAAUAUUUAGAUUUUUACGUAUUUUUCAUGCAUUUCACCAAUUUAUACAUGUGCAUUGACUCGUGACCAGAUGACGUUAUAUACACAUAUAUAUAUGUAAAUAUAUGUAUAUGGGAUAUGGGGAAAGGUUACGGCAUUAUAUACGCACCACAACCUGAUCAGAGUAUAUUUUGUUGAUGUUUCCCACAGUGUCCGAGACGAUAUAAUGGGAUGCCCUUAGUGGCUUGAUGAUAUAAUGUACACCCAUACCUAUGCAUGGCACGACAUUUAUACGCACAUGCGUGACAUUAUAAAUGUUUUAGAAUUUACAAAGUUAUUCAGAUUUAAAGAUGUGUUUUUAUAUUCCAUGUUUCAUCUACGUAUUUUACGUACUAAUUUUCAUGCCUUACAUACUCAGUACAUUUUUCGUACUGACAACCUAUUUCACGGGGCCUGCGUUUUAUGCCUGUAGGUGCAGGUAGGCAAGCUGAUGGUCCCCCUUCUUAGGAUUCUUGAUCUGCGAGAGAUAGCGUGCUCCACUAUAUCUGGAGUUGUUUUUUUUAUUUUGGUACGAUAUGUUCGUAUAUAUAUAUGGGCAUGAUGUGGCACAGUCCCGUUUUUGUACAAUUAUAUUUCUAUUAGAGGUCUGUAGACAGUAUGUCUAGUUGGAUAGUAUGUGGCCUUGUCGGCUUCCAGUUUUGAGAUGUAUAAUUAUCUAUAGCAGCCUUGUCGGCUUGCCCUACGUAUGUUGCAC